AGGCCUAAUACAUGCAAGUCGAACGGAUGUCAGCAAUGGCAUUAGUGGCGCACGGGUGCGUAACACGUAACUAACCUACCUAUAACUGGGGGAUAGCCCGCCGAAAGGCGGAUUAAUACCGCAUAAGCUGCUUGGGUGGCAUCACCUGAAUAGUAAAGAUUUAUUGGUUAUAGAUGGGGUUGCGGGUCAUUAGCUAGUUGGUAAGGUAACGGCUUACCAAGGCGACGAUGACUAGGGGAGCUGAGAGGCUGGUCCCCCACACGGGCACUGAGAUACGGGCCCGACUCCUACGGGAGGCAGCAGUAGGGAAUAUUGGGCAAUGGGCGAGAGCCUGACCCAGCCAUGCCGCGUGCAGGAAGAAGGCUUUCUGAGUCGUAAACUGCUUUUGACAGGGAAGAAUAAGCUGGUCGUGACCAGUGAUGACGGUACCUGCAGAAUAAGCACCGGCUAACUCCGUGCCAGCAGCCGCGGUAAUACGGAGGGUGCGAGCGUUGUCCGGAUUUAUUGGGUUUAAAGGGUGCGUAGGCGGCCUUAUAAGUCCGGGGUGAAAGCCCGUUGCUUAACAACGGAACUGCCCUGG
RNAcentral lists this ribosomal RNA (580 nucleotides) under uncultured bacterium. RNAcentral's name for it is "bacterial SSU rRNA". It matches the Rfam family "Bacterial small subunit ribosomal RNA", at positions 44 to 629 of the family's 1533-position model. The record is from RNAcentral.